UACGUAGGCAGCGAGCGUUGUUCGGAGUUACUGGGCGUAAAGGGUGUGUAGGCGGUUGUUUAAGUUUGGUGUGAAAUCUCCCGGCUCAACUGGGAGGGUGCGCCGAAUACUGAGUGACUAGAGUGCGGGAGAGGAAAGUGGAAUUCCUGGUGUAGCGGUGAAAUGCGUAGAUAUCAGGAGGAACACCGGUGGUGUAGACGGCUUUCUGGACCGUAACUGACGCUGAGACGCGAAAGCGUGGGGAGCGAACAGG
Molecule: ribosomal RNA, 253 nt
Filed under: uncultured bacterium
Lineage: Bacteria
Description: partial 16S ribosomal RNA
Rfam family: Bacterial small subunit ribosomal RNA
Source: RNAcentral